UUUACCAUUUUACCAUUGGUUCGUACCAAUCCACCGAUAUGGGAUCAGCCAGGCUGGUAUCGCCUCACAUCCGCCAUGAUUGGAGUGGGUGAGAGAAUGAUGAUGUGGGCUAUGUUGGAGCUCGGCUCAUACAGUCCAGAACAUGAAUAACUUGCAGGAGUUCAUACUUUUCCUUUAAACUUCAAAUUGAAUCAAAGCAGAAGAUGAUGAUGAUACAAUCAAAGACCCAACAAUCCAGUCUUCUAGUCCUCUUGAGAAGAUCACCUCAAUUUCAAUUUGUUGAACUGACUACUAAGCUGAAGACCAAAGGCUUGGUUCAGAUGAAGAUGUGCCUCCUAACAGGUACAUUUCUAAUGUCUUUCAACACACGCACAUGAACACAUGGAAGCCAUGGAGGCGAGAACUGAUUUCCAAACUAGUAGAAUACAUUGUUGAUGGAUCUCUUAAUCAUGUUAAUUUCACUGGAAAUGGUAAUACUAUGUUCUUAGUCAAACUUUUGAGACUUCUGGAAAGUACAGAUUUUGUAUCUCAUUCCCUACUUGGAUUUUUUUUCCUUUUUUUGGGGGGAUAUCUAUUUUUGUUUCCCUGUUGCAGAACAGAGUAUACAAUUUUUGAAUAUCUCAUUUGAAA
Long non-coding RNA from Macadamia integrifolia, 630 nucleotides. RefSeq lists it as uncharacterized. Lineage: Eukaryota; Viridiplantae; Streptophyta; Magnoliopsida; Proteales; Proteaceae. The record is from RefSeq and is a predicted model, not a curated record. The transcript is spliced from 2 exons.